Molecule: ribosomal RNA, 497 nt
Filed under: uncultured bacterium
Lineage: Bacteria
Description: partial 16S ribosomal RNA
Rfam family: Bacterial small subunit ribosomal RNA
Source: RNAcentral
GAUGAACGCUGGCGGCGUGCCUAAUACAUGCAAGUCGAGCGAACAGACGAGGAGCUUGCUCCUUCGACGUUAGCGGCGGACGGGUGAGUAACACGUAGGUAACCUACCUAUAAGACUGGGAUAACUUCGGGAAACCGGAGCUAAUACCGGAUAAUAUUUCGAACCGCAUGGUUCGAUAGUGAAAGAUGGCUUUGCUAUCACUUAUAGAUGGACCUGCGCCGUAUUAGCUAGUUGGUAAGGUAACGGCUUACCAAGGCAACGAUACGUAGCCGACCCGAGAGGGUGAUCGGCCACACUGGAACUGAGACACGGUCCAGACUCCUACGGGAGGCAGCAGUAGGGAAUCUUCCGCAAUGGGCGAAAGCCUGACGGAGCAACGCCGCGUGAGUGAUGAAGGUCUUCGGAUCGUAAAACUCUGUUAUUAGGGAAGAACAAACGUGUAAGUAACUGUGCACGUCUUGACGGUACCUAAUCAGAAAGCCACGGCUAACUACGUG